UGCCAGCAGCCGCGGUAAGACGGAGGGUGCGAACGUUGUUCGGAAUCACUGGGCAUAAAGCGCGCGUAGGCGGUCCACUAAGUCAGUUGUGAAAUCCCUCGGCUCAACCGAGGAACUGCAACUGAUACUGGUGGACUUGAGGAUGGUAGGGGUGAGCGGAACUCCAGGUGGAGCGGUGAAAUGCGUAGAUAUCUGGAGGAACACCGGUGGCGAAAGCGGCUCACUGGACCAUCACUGACGCUGAGGUGCGAAAGCGUGGGGAGCGAACAGGAUUAGAUA
This 279-nucleotide ribosomal RNA is filed under the name uncultured bacterium. Its description in RNAcentral is "partial 16S ribosomal RNA". It matches the Rfam family "Bacterial small subunit ribosomal RNA", at positions 506 to 784 of the family's 1533-position model. The record is from RNAcentral.